UGGGGAAUAUUGCACAAUGGGGGAAACCCUGAUGCAGCGACGCCGCGUGGAGGAAGAAGGUCUUCGGAUUGUAAACUCCUGUUGUUGAGGAAGAUAAUGACGGUACUCAACAAGGAAGUGACGGCUAACUACGUGCCAGCAGCCGCGGUAAAACGUAGGUCACAAGCGUUGUCCGGAAUUACUGGGUGUAAAGGGAGCGCAGGCGGGAAGACAAGUUGGAAGUGAAAUCUAUGGGCUCAACCCAUAAACUGCUUUCAAAACUGUUUUUCUUGAGUAGUGCAGAGGUAGGCGGAAUUCCCGGUGUAGCGGUGGAAUGCGUAGAUAUCGGGAGGAACACCAGUGGCGAAGGCGGCCUACUGGGCACCAACUGACGCUGAGGCUCGAAAGUGUGGGUAGCAAACAGGAUUAGAUACCCUGGUAGUCCACACUGUAAACGAUGAUUACUAGGUGUGGGGGGACUGACCCCUUCCGUGCCGCAGCAAACGCAAUAAGUAAUCCACCUGGGGAGUACGACCGCAAGGUUGAAACUCAAAGGAAUUGACGGGGGCCCGCACAAGCAGUGGAGUAUGUGGUUUAAUUCGACGCAACGCGAAGAACCUUACCAAGUCUUGACAUCCUGCGACGGACAUAGAAAUAUGUUUUUCCUUCGGGACGCAGAGACAGGUGGUGCAUGGUUGUCGUCAGCUCGUGUCGUGAGAUGUUGGGUUAAGUCCCGCAACGAGCGCAACCCUUACUGUCAGUUACUACGCAAGAGGACUCUGGCAGGACUGCCGUUGACAAAACGGAGGAAGGUGGGGAUGACGUCAAAUCAUCAUGCCCUUUAUGACUUGGGCUACACACGUACUACAAUGGCGUUAAACAAAGAGAAGCAAGACCGCGAGGUGGAGCAAAACUCAGAAACAACGUCCCAGUUCGGACUGCAGGCUGCAACUCGCCUGCACGAAGUCGGAAUUGCUAGUAAUCGUGGAUCAGCAUGCCACGGUGAAUACGUUCCC
Molecule: ribosomal RNA, 995 nt
Filed under: uncultured bacterium
Lineage: Bacteria
Description: bacterial SSU rRNA
Rfam family: Bacterial small subunit ribosomal RNA
Source: RNAcentral